RNAcentral lists this ribosomal RNA (1000 nucleotides) under Bacillus subtilis. RNAcentral's name for it is "bacterial SSU rRNA". It matches the Rfam family "Bacterial small subunit ribosomal RNA", at positions 62 to 1042 of the family's 1533-position model. The record is from RNAcentral. Lineage: Bacteria; Bacillati; Bacillota; Bacilli; Caryophanales; Bacillaceae.
UCGGAGGCGGACAGAUGGGAGCUUGCUCCCUGAUGUUAGCGGCGGACGGGUGAGUAACACGUGGGUAACCUGCCUGUAAGACUGGGAUAACUCCGGGAAACCGGGGCUAAUACCGGAUGGUUGUUUGAACCGCAUGGUUCAAACAUAAAAGGUGGCUUCGGCUACCACUUACAGAUGGACCCGCGGCGCAUUAGCUAGUUGGUGAGGUAACGGCUCACCAAGGCAACGAUGCGUAGCCGACCUGAGAGGGUGAUCGGCCACACUGGGACUGAGACACGGCCCAGACUCCUACGGGAGGCAGCAGUAGGGAAUCUUCCGCAAUGGACGAAAGUCUGACGGAGCAACGCCGCGUGAGUGAUGAAGGUUUUCGGAUCGUAAAGCUCUGUUGUUAGGGAAGAACAAGUACCGUUCGAAUAGGGCGGUACCUUGACGGUACCUAACCAGAAAGCCACGGCUAACUACGUGCCAGCAGCCGCGGUAAUACGUAGGUGGCAAGCGUUGUCCGGAAUUAUUGGGCGUAAAGGGCUCGCAGGCGGUUUCUUAAGUCUGAUGUGAAAGCCCCCGGCUCAACCGGGGAGGGUCAUUGGAAACUGGGGAACUUGAGUGCAAAGAGGAGAGUGGAAUUCCACGUGUAGCGGUGAAAUGCGUAGAGAUGUGGAGGAACACCAGUGGCGAAGGCGACUCUCUGGUCUGUAACUGACGCUGAGGAGCGAAAGCGUGGGGAGCGAACAGGAUUAGAUACCCUGGUAGUCCACGCCGUAAACGAUGAGUGCUAAGUGUUAGGGGGUUUCCGCCCCUUAGUGCUGCAGCUAACGCAUUAAGCACUCCGCCUGGGGAGUACGGUCGCAAGACUGAAACUCAAAGGAAUUGACGGGGGCCCGCACAAGCGGUGGAACAUGUGGUUUAAUUCGAAGCAACGCGAAGAACCUUACCAGGUCUUGACAUCCUCUGACAAUCCUAGAGAUAGGACGUCCCCUUCGGGGGCAAAAUGACAGGUGGU